Long non-coding RNA from Polypterus senegalus (gray bichir), 655 nucleotides. RefSeq lists it as uncharacterized. The record is from RefSeq and is a predicted model, not a curated record. Lineage: Eukaryota; Metazoa; Chordata; Cladistia; Polypteriformes; Polypteridae. The transcript has 3 exons.
CAUUUACAGACAUGAAGGGUCUCCUAGACGCCCUGGAGCGUCAGCUCGCGGGGCCCGACAGGGACGAGCCGUUACCCCGAGCCCAGUAGUCGCGCUGCGGAACCGCCAGUAAAGCCCAGAGAAAAGCCAGCCUCACCGCACUGUUUCAAGUGCGGUGAGGUUGGACAUCUUCUACCAGCCUGCCCAAACGUGGAACCGAUGGACUGCAGUUGGGCCACCACUGAGAGAAAGAAAGACGCACCGCCGCCAUGAAGCGGUCUGAAUCAGCAUCCACGCACCACUACUUCCGGCCUUCCUCUGUCAGUCCCUGAUGACGUCACCAAUCCCACUAUCCACCUCGGCUCUGGGCCUUAGAGCGAUUAUUUACAUGUACCUCCAGGUCUUUAAUAUCCUGCUGCAGCCAGAAUUUCACCCCGUAUAUUGUCAUUUUAGUACAUAAAGAAUAGUGCUUCUAUGACAAGUAGUCUCAAAAGACAGUGUCCAAAACGGGACUGAAGGGGGAAGGCAUGUGGCUGGUUUUUAUUGGCAGUGGAAAGGAAAAAGAGGGUCCAACGAGGCACAGGUGGAAGUAAGUGUUCUGCAUUUACUAGCUGAUGAGCCUGAAAUUGGAACCAGAAGUGGCAGAACAUCUUAAUGAUUCCAUAAUUUGAGGGGA